RNAcentral lists this ribosomal RNA (1371 nucleotides) under Staphylococcus aureus. Its description in RNAcentral is "bacterial SSU rRNA". It matches the Rfam family "Bacterial small subunit ribosomal RNA", at positions 134 to 1490 of the family's 1533-position model. The record is from RNAcentral. Lineage: Bacteria; Bacillati; Bacillota; Bacilli; Caryophanales; Staphylococcaceae.
AAGACUGGGAUAACUUCGGGAAACCGGAGCUAAUACCGGAUAAUAUUUUGAACCGCAUGGUUCAAAAGUGAAAGACGGUCUUGCUGUCACUUAUAGAUGGAUCCGCGCUGCAUUAGCUAGUUGGUAAGGUAACGGCUUACCAAGGCAACGAUGCAUAGCCGACCUGAGAGGGUGAUCGGCCACACUGGAACUGAGACACGGUCCAGACUCCUACGGGAGGCAGCAGUAGGGAAUCUUCCGCAAUGGGCGAAAGCCUGACGGAGCAACGCCGCGUGAGUGAUGAAGGUCUUCGGAUCGUAAAACUCUGUUAUUAGGGAAGAACAUAUGUGUAAGUAACUGUGCACAUCUUGACGGUACCUAAUCAGAAAGCCACGGCUAACUACGUGCCAGCAGCCGCGGUAAUACGUAGGUGGCAAGCGUUAUCCGGAAUUAUUGGGCGUAAAGCGCGCGUAGGCGGUUUUUUAAGUCUGAUGUGAAAGCCCACGGCUCAACCGUGGAGGGUCAUUGGAAACUGGAAAACUUGAGUGCAGAAGAGGAAAGUGGAAUUCCAUGUGUAGCGGUGAAAUGCGCAGAGAUAUGGAGGAACACCAGUGGCGAAGGCGACUUUCUGGUCUGUAACUGACGCUGAUGUGCGAAAGCGUGGGGAUCAAACAGGAUUAGAUACCCUGGUAGUCCACGCCGUAAACGAUGAGUGCUAAGUGUUAGGGGGUUUCCGCCCCUUAGUGCUGCAGCUAACGCAUUAAGCACUCCGCCUGGGGAGUACGACCGCAAGGUUGAAACUCAAAGGAAUUGACGGGGACCCGCACAAGCGGUGGAGCAUGUGGUUUAAUUCGAAGCAACGCGAAGAACCUUACCAAAUCUUGACAUCCUUUGACAACUCUAGAGAUAGAGCCUUCCCCUUCGGGGGACAAAGUGACAGGUGGUGCAUGGUUGUCGUCAGCUCGUGUCGUGAGAUGUUGGGUUAAGUCCCGAAACGAGCGCAACCCUUAAGCUUAGUUGCCAUCAUUAAGUUGGGCACUCUAAGUUGACUGCCGGUGACAAACCGGAGGAAGGUGGGGAUGACGUCAAAUCAUCAUGCCCCUUAUGAUUUGGGCUACACACGUGCUACAAUGGACAAUACAAAGGGCAGCGAAACCGCGAGGUCAAGCAAAUCCCAUAAAGUUGUUCUCAGUUCGGAUUGUAGUCUGCAACUCGACUACAUGAAGCUGGAAUCGCUAGUAAUCGUAGAUCAGCAUGCUACGGUGAAUACGUUCCCGGGUCUUGUACACACCGCCCGUCACACCACGAGAGUUUGUAACACCCGAAGCCGGUGGAGUAACCUUUUAGGAGCUAGCCGUCGAAGGUGGGACAAAUGAUUGGGGUGAAGUCGUA